This 487-nucleotide ribosomal RNA is filed under the name uncultured bacterium. RNAcentral's name for it is "partial 16S ribosomal RNA". It matches the Rfam family "Bacterial small subunit ribosomal RNA", at positions 28 to 507 of the family's 1533-position model. The record is from RNAcentral.
GAUGAACGCUAGCGAUAGGCUUAACACAUGCCAGUCGAGGGGCAGCACAAGGUAGCUUGCUCUCUGGGUGGCGACCGGCGCACGGGUGCGUAACGCGUAUGCAACUUGCCCUAUACAGGAGGAUAACCCGUCGAAAGACGGACUAAUACUGCGUAUGCUCACAACUUGGCAUCAAGUGGUGAGGAAAGAAAUUCGGUAUAGGAUAGGCAUGCGUCCCAUUAGCUUGUUGGUGAGGUAACGGCUCACCAAGGCAACGAUGGGUAGGGGAACUGAGAGGUUUAUCCCCCACACUGGUACUGAGACACGGACCGGACUCCUACGGGAGGCAGCAGUGAGGAAUAUUGGUCAAUGGGCGCGAGCCUGAACCAGCCAAGUCGCGUGAAGGAUGACUGUCUUAUGGAUUGUAAACUUCUUUUAUACGGGAAUAACAAGAGUCACGGGUGACUCCCUGCAUGUACCGUAUGAAUAAGCAUCGGCUAACUCCGUG